Molecule: non-coding RNA, 22 nt
Filed under: Rattus norvegicus (Norway rat)
Lineage: Eukaryota; Metazoa; Chordata; Mammalia; Rodentia; Muridae
Source: RNAcentral
AUUAUCUGCUAAACAUGUGACU